RNAcentral lists this ribosomal RNA (756 nucleotides) under uncultured bacterium. RNAcentral describes it as "bacterial SSU rRNA". It matches the Rfam family "Bacterial small subunit ribosomal RNA", at positions 53 to 790 of the family's 1533-position model. The record is from RNAcentral.
ACAUGCAAGUCGAACGGAAGUCGUUAUAAAAAGGAUUGAGGAUUUAUCCGAUUGAGAUUUUAUAACAAUGGCUUUAGUGGCGGACUGGUGAGUAACGCGUGAGCAACCUGCCUACUAGAGGGGAAUAACAGUGAGAAAUCACUGCUAAUACCGCAUAUGCCAUGAACAUCACAUGAUGAAAAUGGGAAAAGAGUAAUCUGCUAGUAGAUGGGCUCGCGUCUGAUUAGAUAGUUGGUGGGGUAACGGCCUACCAAGUCGACGAUCAGUAGCCGGACUGAGAGGUUGAACGGCCACAUUGGGACUGAGAUACGGCCCAGACUCCUACGGGAGGCAGCAGUCGGGAAUAUUGCGCAAUGGAGGAAACUCUGACGCAGUGACGCCGCGUAUAGGAAGAAGGUUUUCGGAUUGUAAACUAUUGUCGUUAGGGAAGAUAAAAGACAGUACCUAAGGAGGAAGCUCCGGCUAACUACGUGCCAGCAGCCGCGGUAAUACGUAGGGAGCAAGCGUUAUCCGGAUUUAUUGGGUGUAAAGGGUGCGUAGACGGGUUAGCAAGUUAGCUGUGAAAGCCCUCGGCUUAACUGAGGAACUGCAACUAAGACUGUUAAUCUUGAGUGUUGGAGAGGAAAGUGGAAUUCCUAGUGUAGCGGUGAAAUGCGUAGAUAUUAGGAGGAACACCGGUGGCGAAGGCGACUUUCUGGACAAUAACUGACGUUGAGGCACGAAAGUGUGGGGAGCAAACAGGAUUAGAUACCCUGG